Long non-coding RNA from Mya arenaria, 3202 nucleotides. RefSeq lists it as uncharacterized. Lineage: Eukaryota; Metazoa; Mollusca; Bivalvia; Myida; Myidae. The record is from RefSeq and is a predicted model, not a curated record. The transcript has 4 exons.
UUUUGACUGAAGGUUAUCCGCCAUUUUUGAAAAACUUGUUACUUGGAUGUAUUUAUUUAUAUUUUACCUUUUUAUGACUAUUCAGAGCUGGUGUCAACGACAAAUUGAACUGUGUCAUCUUGGAAGCGUGUGUCAACAGAAUUCUAUACAACCACCAGUCGGUGACAUUGCCAGAAUUAAAACUGCAUUGGGCCACUCGCAGGAACCUCCUUAUUUAUGGACCACUGGUGGGAGGCGCUGUAUUUAAUUGUUGGAGUCAAUGAUCUCGAGGUCCAACCGUGACAACAUCUACAUACCUGCAGCAGCCGUCCUACUGACUUAAACAUUAAUAGCCGGCCAAGAAGUUUCUUGGAGCAGUCUUGACUCAGAGAGAGCCACCUAUAGCUACUUCCAUCAGCCACUUUCUUGCUUCUGCGGAGUGUGUACCUUUGAGGAGGCAGCCCCCCUCCCGGCCAGGAACACGGUUUCUUGGCCACGUCUAACCUUUGGGGAUCUGCAACUGUGUGGAGGAGACUGCUGUUGCCAGCCCCAUGUGCAUCGUAUGAGACACUGCCAAACCCCGAGUCUGUGUAUGACCGCCAGCCACUACCCCAGCCUUUACCAUUUACUGCCAAUGCAGACUCUGGAUCUUCUAUUGUAAUAGAGACUUAGUGAUACCACAACCAAAUAGUUAAAAAAAGAAGCCUGAGAGGCAGUAUGUGAAGGAGUACACAAGAAAGUGGGCCCAACAGACAUAUUCUUGCCAUAAGUGUGGUCAACUGAGGACCGCCCCAACGCAUACACAUCAUUAAGGCAGUGGAUACUCCGCAAAGACAGCUUCAAGGACAUUUGAGGAGUCACAGUCCUCAGAAGGUAGCCAAAAGACCAGCAAAGAAGCAAAAAUAGACAGACCGAGAACAACCCUUGAUCAAGGCAGUGUUUAAACAAUCAAAAGUGUUUUGAUAGUGAUGGUGCCUUCACUGAACAUGACAGGCCCCACUGAACAUGACAGGCCCUUCACUAAAGGUGAAAUGUAAAACCCCAAAUCUGACCAUGAUUAGUGAUUUUUAUUUAAAUUUUCAAAACCACCUGUGGCUUUACAAUUGGGAAAAUAAGCGUGUUAAUUCCCAAAAUUGGGAAAAUACAAUGAACAUUAAAAUGGUCAUUUAAAAUAACCAGUAACAAAGACACCUAUCAAAACUGUUUCAACUCUCUUUAAUGACAGUUACUAUCAUUAAAACAUGUAUAACACAAUUUUUGUGCCAAUGAUCCCUAUCAAUGUUGGGAAAUUCUUCAUAAAUAAUUACAAAGGAAAUAAUCUAUAAAAUACUAUAAUGAAUAACAUUGGUAUUUUCAACAUAAUAUGCACUGACUCUGUUAACACCUUACAUUGUUUAAUCCCUUGUUUUAACUCUUUGAAAUAGUCGAUUGUUUGAUUAACAAGUUCUUAAAAAUUUCAGAGAUAAUUUAAUGGGCUUAUCUUCCUCUUAAAUUGGAUACAAAAUCUGCUGUCUUUUAAAAAUGAUGGCUUUCACACUCAUAGAGAGAAUGGAAUGAAUAUAUCAAUAUUUUUAUAUUUUUUUCCAAUUUCCAAAUAGUCAGACUUGUUUGCAAUUGAUCAAAAACAAAUGAUUGAAUUUUGUAAAAUUUCAUCAACAUGUUUCCUUCGGCAUUCAUCAAAUAGUAAAUACACCAUCAUUUUAAUAAAUAAAUACGUUUGUCAUUUCACCCAGUUGUCUACUUUCAGUUUCACUUCUCAGUUCUGUCAUUUUCUGAUAUUGACAAUGAAGGUCAAAGAACAGCAUUGUCUAUUAGUUAUUUUAAUUUCCGCCUGCACCGAAUAAUUUACUGUCACUUUUGAAUUAUUAUUCCUUUUGUUGACAAUGACACAAGUUUUUUAACACAAGGUUUUUAACUAUUAAUUUUUUACAUGCUCUCUGAUUGGAUAAAAAAUAUUGUUAAACCAAUGAAAAUCCACCUUUCACCAUAACGUGGAUGUUACAUCAUUGUAUGUCUCUGUAAAUAGACGCUUGCAUGUAGGGGAAAUAACUGUUUUGUUAAUAUUUUCAUUGUCUUUUAUUCUUAUUUUCUUUUGAAGUUUUAGAACUCCAGAUUGGGAAUUUUUAUUCAGAAAUAGGAAAAAGGGAUACUUUUUGCCAUUGAGAACAUGACCGAAUACCGGCUAUAAAUAUUGCCGAAGAAAACCCUGACAAUUCAUAAUUGUAUUUUUUAUUCAUUUCUGAGGGGAAAUAAUUACCUUUUUUUUUGGAAAAUAUGACUAUUUUUGGGGGAAAAUCGGACGAUUUUCGGCAAGGGGAAUCAGCUGUUAUUCGGCGGUAAAUUUCACGAAAAAAAUCACUGCCAUGUUGCCCCUGAUAUUGAUGUUUUAUUGAUAUAUUUCCUAAUACUGAUAUUUUAUACUAGGCUUGACAUUUAAUUUGAAUCAAACUGAAUUUUCAUAUCUGUAAUGUUGUACUUUGUAUUGGCUUGUAAUCUAUUUUUGCUAUUUUUGCAACACUUAUAGUUGAAAUUUGACAAAUUUAAAGAGUCUGUCGGAUAUCUUAUUCGUUUUAAUUAAUUCUAUUUUCAUUUAAUUUUAUCAGCAUUAUUUCAUUAAUUUUACCAGUGAGUUACUUACUUUGAAAAUGAAUUAGUUUUACUUAAAGUAACAUUAGUUCACAUAUCUUUAUUUAUCUUUGGCUCACUAUUUUUCCAAUUUAACUAUCAAAAAUGAUUAAAACUAUCAAAAAUGGUUAAAAAUAGAAGAAUAUUCUUAAAAUGCUACUGUUCUUUGCUGUUAGUACUUCUGUACAUAUCUUUUGCAUAGAAUGAAGGUCUAAGGUCCUUGUAAAAGCUGAUCCCUUAUCUUAAUCCUUUCCCUUCUAACUGCCUUGUCAGUGUGUCUGACAGUUGGUUCUGUUAGUCAGUCAUUGUAAUGCUUUACUGGUGAAUUUGUCAGUGUUUAACAUUUUUGGAAUGAACUUUGGUUACUUUCUGUCUAUUUUCAUUUAAAGUAAAGGUUUCGGCAUAUUGCUCUAAAUCAAGCCAUCGUAGUCUUAAGAAAGACACUUACCAUGUGGUAUGAGUUCUGGGUUCAAAUCCCAGCGGUGGCUAUAAGAAUUGCAGUUUGGGGCUCAAAUACAGAUUCCUUCAUAAAGCCAGAAAAGUUUCCAAUUGCAUUAAAAUACAUAAAUUUUAAUUUCCAAUUAAACUGUGACAAUUU